GAUGAACGCUGGCGGCGUGCCUAAUACAUGCAAGUCGAGCGAACAGAUGAGGAGCUUGCUCCUCUGACGUUAGCGGCGGACGGGUGAGUAACACGUGGAUAACCUACCUAUAAGACUGGGAUAACUUCGGGAAACCGGAGCUAAUACCGGAUAAUAUAUUGAACCGCAUGGUUCAAUAGUGAAAGACGGUUUUGCUGUCACUUAUAGAUGGAUCCGCGCCGCAUUAGCUAGUUGGUAAGGUAACGGCUUACCAAGGCAACGAUGCGUAGCCGACCUGAGAGGGUGAUCGGCCACACUGGAACUGAGACACGGUCCAGACUCCUUCGGGAGGCAGCAGUAGGGAAUCUUCCGCAAUGGGCGAAAGCCUGACGGAGCAACGCCGCGUGAGUGAUGAAGGUCUUCGGAUCGUAAAACUCUGUUAUUAGGGAAGAACAAAUGUGUAAGUAACUAUGCACGUCUUGACGGUACCUAAUCAGAAAGCAACGGCUAACUACGUG
This 497-nucleotide ribosomal RNA is filed under the name uncultured bacterium. RNAcentral's name for it is "partial 16S ribosomal RNA". It matches the Rfam family "Bacterial small subunit ribosomal RNA", at positions 28 to 507 of the family's 1533-position model. The record is from RNAcentral.